RNAcentral lists this transfer RNA (71 nucleotides) under Cordylochernes scorpioides. Its description in RNAcentral is "tRNA-Gly". The record is from RNAcentral. Lineage: Eukaryota; Metazoa; Arthropoda; Arachnida; Pseudoscorpiones; Chernetidae.
UGCAUCGGCCGGGAAUCGAACCCGGGCCGCCCGCGUGGCAGGCGAGAAUGAUACCACUGAACCAUCAAUGG